AGGAUUAGAUACCCUGGUAGUCCACGCCGUAAACGAUGUCGACUUGGAGGUUGUGCCCUUGAGGCGUGGCUUCCGGAGCUAACGCGUUAAGUCGACCGCCUGGGGAGUACGGCCGCAAGGUUAAAACUCAAAUGAAUUGACGGGGGCCCGCACAAGCGGUGGAGCAUGUGGUUUAAUUCGAUGCAACGCGAAGAACCUUACCUACUCUUGACAUCCAGAGAACUUAGCAGAGAUGCUUUGGUGCCUUCGGGAACUCUGAGACAGGUGCUGCAUGGCUGUCGUCAGCUCGUGUUGUGAAAUGUUGGGUUAAGUCCCGCAACGAGCGCAACCCUUAUCCUUUGUUGCCAGCGGUUCGGCCGGGAACUCAAAGGAGACUGCCAGUGAUAAACUGGAGGAAGGUGGGGAUGACGUCAAGUCAUCAUGGCCCUUACGAGUAGGGCUACACACGUGCUACAAUGGCAUAUACAAAGAGAAGCGACCUCGCGAGAGCAAGCGGACCUCAUAAAGUAUGUCGUAGUCCGGAUUGGAGUCUGCAACUCGACUCCAUGAAGUCGGAAUCGCUAGUAAUCGUAGAUCAGAAUGCUACGGUGAAUACGUUCCCGGGCCUUGUACACACCGCCCGUCACACCAUGGGAGUGGGUUGCAAAAGAAGUAGGUAGCUUAACCUUCGGGAGGGCGCUUACCACUUUGUGAUUCAUGACUGGGGUGAAGUCGUAACAAGGUA
This 724-nucleotide ribosomal RNA is filed under the name Klebsiella sp. Its description in RNAcentral is "bacterial SSU rRNA". It matches the Rfam family "Bacterial small subunit ribosomal RNA", at positions 774 to 1498 of the family's 1533-position model. The record is from RNAcentral. Lineage: Bacteria; Pseudomonadati; Pseudomonadota; Gammaproteobacteria; Enterobacterales; Enterobacteriaceae.